RNAcentral lists this long non-coding RNA (1579 nucleotides) under Eucalyptus grandis. Its description in RNAcentral is "long non-coding RNA (EGRA_LNC007948)". Lineage: Eukaryota; Viridiplantae; Streptophyta; Magnoliopsida; Myrtales; Myrtaceae. The record is from RNAcentral.
GAGGUCAAUGUUUCGUAGCCUCAUACGGUGAGGCGAGAGCAAUUUGUGGGCUUUCUUGAUUCUGGUUUUGGGACUCGUUCCAAUGCUGACUCUGCUUUGUUACAUGUUUGUAAGUCAGGUUUUUUUUAGAGAGAUUAUCAAGCUUAUGUUGGCGGUGAACAUGGAGACUUCUUACUAUAUCGUCAAAAUAGAGGGCUGUUGUGCAUCAAUGCGGUGGUUAUCCAUCAAUUCUAAUUUCAUUUCUUUCCUCCGUUCAACCAAAUUGACUUUGUUCCAAUUCAGGAACAUGGUCAACUUUCUUUUCCAAUUUUUGCUCCAUUUGAUAAAAGACACUUUUUUCCAUUUGCGGACAUCAUCAGUGUGCUGUUCCAGAACCACCUCAGUCAUGAAUUUGAUCUGAAAUAAAACGAAAUAUCUGCUAAUGAAAAAAAAAUCAUUGUUAGGGAAGAGACAAGUUAAGCAAUAUAAUCAAGCAAAAACAUAUCUUAUUUCUUUUCCUUAAAAACUUAACAGAAAUAAUCCACGGCCUUCUUACCAUAAAUGGCCUAACGGUAAGCAAAAAAUCUGUUUACUGGUAGCGUUCGGUGCAUAAUUAUGUUUGCAUCUUGCGGGACUCGAACUGACUGAGGCAGCAUGUUGUUCGGCCUCACGUGUGCGGGCUGCCAUUACAACGUACUGCAGGAAUUAAAAUGAAUACAAAUCUUUACAUAUUAGGGAUUAAUUUCUAAUACAACAUUGAGACACGGCUCUAACACGACAUGAAUUUGUUGAGACACCUAAAUACUAAUUUGAACACGACACAAUACGAUGCAGUCAACUUGAAAUCGACACAAAUGACAAGCUUUCAUAAAUGACCAUUGGCUGCCUCCGUCUCAUUGAUAUUUUUCUCUUAAUUGACUAGAUACUUUUGAACUAUUUAGGGUAAGUUUAAUAACCAUUAUGUUUCGGAAGAUAAUUUUUUAUCAGAAAUGGUUUUUUCUGAUUCUAUUACUGGAAACAAUUUCUUAGCAAAAGAACACACUUGAUAACUAUCCAAAAUUUCUAUUCCAGGGAUAGAAAUGCGUUUGGUAAAAUUCUUAAAUUCUUUUGUUUCUUUUAAUUUUUUUAAUACUUUUAUUAUAUUUUUCUCUUUUUUCUUUUUCUUUUCUUCCUCUUUCUUCUUUGCCGUGGCCAGCGAAUGGUGGGCAAGGUUCAGUGAGCUCGCUAGAGCCUUGCCAGGCCUCGAUAGCCGACGUGAGGCUCGGCCUUGUCGGGCCACCGUCAGGCAACGCCGACUUGGAGGUGGUCCAGUGAGGUUGUCGACCCUUGUCCGGUCAGUCGCCGGCCAUAGUUGAGGCGGGCGAUCGACCAAAGGGAAGAAGAAGAAAGGGGAAGAGAAGAAGAGAAAAGAAAAGGAAAGAGAAGAAAAGAAAAAAAUAAGAACUGAUUCUAGGAAUUGUUCUCGGAGUAACAAGUUAUUUUUUUCUAUUUCUUAUUUUUGUUUCAAAUUAAUUCUUGGGAACAAAAAAUAGAUUUUUUGUUCUUGGGAAAAUAAUUUUUUUUUACCAAAAUAGGGCCUUAAUAACUUUGACGGAAUUGG